CACUUUGAAAGAAGAGAUGGAGUAAAUGUAGGCUGUGUAGCUGGAAAUACAGUCUGAAAGACAGACACUGAUGCCAUUUCUGCCAUACAUAGUGGGAAGGAUGGAGGUACCAACUACUGGUUUGAGAGGUUUCUCACUUGGAAACACAGGAGUAGCCCAAGAAAUGCCUCAGAACACAAGAAAAAGGACAUGGAUGCUUUGAG
Lonchura striata (white-rumped munia) is the source of this 203-nucleotide non-coding RNA. The record is from RefSeq and is a predicted model, not a curated record. Lineage: Eukaryota; Metazoa; Chordata; Aves; Passeriformes; Estrildidae.